This 849-nucleotide long non-coding RNA is filed under the name Setaria viridis. RNAcentral's name for it is "long non-coding RNA (SVIR_LNC005998)". Lineage: Eukaryota; Viridiplantae; Streptophyta; Magnoliopsida; Poales; Poaceae. The record is from RNAcentral.
CUCAAUUCACCAUGGGAAGGUCCCUACGUCAUAUCCAAGGUCACAGGGCCUGGAUCGUAUCGACUACAAGACCUCUCAGGAGAAGAAAUAGCAAACUCUUGAAACAUAGAACAUCUGUGUUGCUAUUACACAUAGAAGACUACAAAAUAAACACUCAGGUUUUCACGCAAGUUAAAAAUAACAAAGUUCUUCUGCAAAAUUCCCAUCUUUGCCACUGACUCGGCUAUCUUCAUUAAGUCUCUCCGAGUUAUCACGACUCACCGGCUAUCAACAGCCACUUGAGCUCUCUAGCUCUCCGAGCCCUAGCGCUCCGACUUCAUUAAGUCUCUCCGAGUUAUCACAACUCACCGGCUAUCAACAACCACUCGAGCUCUCUAGCUCUCCGAGCCCCAAUGCUCCGACUGACUUGAAUUCAUCAAGCAUCGCCGAGUUAUCACAACUCGUCGGCUAUUCACAUCCACUCGAGUACUUCAGCUCUGUGAGCUCCCGUACUCUACUCUCCGUUCUCGAGUCGAACAAGACUCCGAGUCAUCAUAACCCGUAGAGAUACCCACAAUUACUGAAACUUCAGUUCGAGUUCUCAACUCGCCUUCACAAGACAAGCAGGCUUCACAAAAGUCACGACUACAUCAUUAGUCAUUCUUUACCCAAAGCAAGACCGACGCAAUCAUCGGAUAACAACUCAAGAAUGCAUUCUUUGCAUUGAAUAAUUUUCAAAGUUAGAUGCGACUACUCAACGGAGUCAGGGUACUCAAAAUACAAUACAACAGCACAACAACGACUACAAGCAACUGCCUACUGGUAGUCUGCACCAAAGUUCCAAGCUUUUACUAUAUCACAAGGAUACAC